RNAcentral lists this ribosomal RNA (467 nucleotides) under uncultured bacterium. RNAcentral describes it as "partial 16S ribosomal RNA". It matches the Rfam family "Bacterial small subunit ribosomal RNA", at positions 28 to 506 of the family's 1533-position model. The record is from RNAcentral.
GACGAACGCUGGCGGCGUGCUUAACACAUGCAAGUCGAACGGAAAGGCCCUGCUUUUGUGGGGUGCUCGAGUGGCGAACGGGUGAGUAACACGUGAGUAACCUGCCCUUGACUUUGGGAUAACUUCAGGAAACUGGGGCUAAUACCGGAUAGGAGCUCCUGCUGCAUGGUGGGGGUUGGAAAGUUUCGGCGGUUGGGGAUGGACUCGCGGCUUAUCAGCUUGUUGGUGGGGUAGUGGCUUACCAAGGCUUUGACGGGUAGCCGGCCUGAGAGGGUGACCGGCCACAUGGGGACUGGGAUACGGCCGAGACUCCUACGGGAGGCAGCAGUGGGGAAUAUUGCACAAGGGGCGGAAGCCGGAUGCAGCAACGCCGGGUGGGGGAUGACGGCCUUCGGGUUGUAAACCGCUUUCGCCUGUGACGAAGCGUGAGUGACGGUAAUGGGUAAAGAAGCACCGGCUAACUACGU